GACGAACGCUGGCGGCGUGCCUAAUACAUACAAGUUGAGCGAUGAAGAUUGGUGCUUGCACCAAUUUGAAGAGCAGCGAACGGGUGAGUAACGCGUGGGGAAUCUGCCUUUGAGCGGGGGACAACAUUUGGAAACGAAUGCUAAUACCGCAUAAUAACUUUAAACAUAAGUUUUAAGUUUGAAAGAUGCAAUUGCAUCACUCAAAGAUGAUCCCGCGUUGUAUUAGCUAGUUGGUGAGGUAAAGGCUCACCAAGGCGAUGAUACAUAGCCGACCUGAGAGGGUGAUCGGCCACAUUGGGACUGAGACACGGCCCAAACUCCUACGGGAGGCAGCAGUAGGGAAUCUUCGGCAAUGGACGAAAGUCUGACCGAGCAACGCCGCGUGAGUGAAGAAGGUUUUCGGAUCGUAAAACUCUGUUGGUAGAGAAGAACGUUGGUGAGAGUGGAAAGCUCAUCAAGUGACGGUAACUACCCAGAAAGGGACGGCUAACUACGUG
RNAcentral lists this ribosomal RNA (497 nucleotides) under uncultured bacterium. RNAcentral's name for it is "partial 16S ribosomal RNA". It matches the Rfam family "Bacterial small subunit ribosomal RNA", at positions 28 to 507 of the family's 1533-position model. The record is from RNAcentral.